CCUAUAUUCCCUUCGUUCCGAAUUACUCGUUGCAGGUAUGGAUGUAUCUAGAUAUAUUUUAGUUCUAAAUAUAUCCAUUUCUAUGACGAGUAAUUUGGAACGAAGGGAGUACGUU
Molecule: non-coding RNA, 115 nt
Organism: Triticum aestivum (bread wheat)
Lineage: Eukaryota; Viridiplantae; Streptophyta; Magnoliopsida; Poales; Poaceae
Source: Rfam